This 468-nucleotide ribosomal RNA is filed under the name uncultured bacterium. RNAcentral describes it as "partial 16S ribosomal RNA". It matches the Rfam family "Bacterial small subunit ribosomal RNA", at positions 28 to 507 of the family's 1533-position model. The record is from RNAcentral.
GACGAACGCUGGCGGCGUGCUUAACACAUGCAAGUCGAACGGAAAGGCCCUGCUUUUGUGGGGUGCUCGAGUGGCGAACGGGUGAGUAACACUUGAGUAACCUGCCCUUGACUUUGGGAUAACUUCAGGAAACUGGGGCUAAUACCGGAUAGGAGCUCCUGCUGCAUGGUGGGGGUUGGAUAGUUUCGGCGGUUGGGGAUGGACUCGCGGCUUAUCAGCUUGUUGGUGGGGUAGUGUCUUACCAAGGCUUUGACGGGUAGCCGGCCUGAGAGGGUGACCGGCCACAUUGGGACUGAGAUACGGCCCAGACUCCUACGGGAGGCAGCGGUGGAGAAGAUUGCACAAUGGGCGGAAGCCUGAUGCAGCAACGCAGCGUGCGGGAUGACGGGCUUCGGGUUGUAAACCGAUUUCGCCUGUGACGAAGCGUGAGUGACGGUAAUGGGUAAAGAAGCACCGGCUAACUACGUG